This 497-nucleotide ribosomal RNA is filed under the name uncultured bacterium. Its description in RNAcentral is "partial 16S ribosomal RNA". It matches the Rfam family "Bacterial small subunit ribosomal RNA", at positions 28 to 507 of the family's 1533-position model. The record is from RNAcentral.
GAUGAACGCUGGCGGCGUGCCUAAUACAUGCAAGUCGAGCGAACAGACGAGGAGCUUGCUCCUCUGACGUUAGCGGCGGACGGGUGAGUAACACGUGGAUAACCUACCUAUAAGACUGGGAUAACUUCGGGAAACCGGAGCUAAUACCGGAUAAUAUAUUGAACCGCAUGGUUCAAUAGUGAAAGACGGUUUUGCUGUCACUUAUAGAUGGAUCCGCGCCGCAUUAGCUAGUUGGUAAGGUAACGGCUUACCAAGGCGACGAUGCGUAGCCGACCUGAGAGGGAGAUCGGCCACACUGGAACUGAGACACGGUCCAGACUCCUACGGGAGGCAGCAGUAGGGAAUCUUCCGCAAUGGGCGAAAGCCUGACGGAGCAACGCCGCGUGAGUGAUGAAGGUCUUCGGAUCGUAAAACUCUGUUAUUAGGGAAGAAGAAAUGUGUAAGUAACUAUGCACGUCUUGACGGUACCUAAUCAGAAAGCCACGGCUAACUACGUG